Molecule: long non-coding RNA, 232 nt
Filed under: Nicotiana benthamiana
Lineage: Eukaryota; Viridiplantae; Streptophyta; Magnoliopsida; Solanales; Solanaceae
Description: long non-coding RNA (NBEN_LNC013925)
Source: RNAcentral
CCCAAAAAAAAUCUUUCAAUUAUGGACCUGAAUGACAUUCUGAGUCAUAAAUGUCCAAAGGUCAGUCUAUUAGGUCCAAUCAGGAAAACCAUCCAUGUCCACACUGUAAACAGUUAAGGAUAAUUGUCGAGAACUAAAGGAUGUCCUUCCUGUCAGCAUUUCAAACAAACUGUCCAUUUAUUCAUGAUUGGCUUCAGGAAAACAGUACAGAAACUAGAGGUAUAUGAUUCAA